This 473-nucleotide ribosomal RNA is filed under the name uncultured bacterium. RNAcentral's name for it is "bacterial SSU rRNA". It matches the Rfam family "Bacterial small subunit ribosomal RNA", at positions 355 to 825 of the family's 1533-position model. The record is from RNAcentral.
UGGGGAAUUGUUCGCAAUGGGCGCAAGCCUGACGACGCAACGCCGCGUGAGUGAUGAAGGCCUUCGGGUCGUAAACUCCUGUCGACCGGGACGAACGCUAUUGGGCCCAAUACGCCCGAUAGUCGACUGUACCGGUGGAGGAAGCCACGGCUAACUCUGUGCCAGCAGCCGCGGUAAUACAGAGGUGGCAAGCGUUGUUCGGAAUUACUGGGCGUAAAGGGCGCGUAGGCAGUCCUGUCAGUCCCUUGUGAAAUCCCCCGGCUCAACUGGGGAACUGCAAGGGAUACAGCAGGGCUUGAGUUCGGGAGAGGGAAGCGGAAUUCCGGGUGUAGCGGUGAAAUGCGUAGAUAUCCGGAGGAACACCGGUGGCGAAGGCGGCUUCCUGGACCGAUACUGACGCUGAGGCGCGAAAGCUAGGGGAGCAAACGGGAUUAGAUACCCUAGUAGUCCCUGAGCGGGCUGGCAAGGCGCAU